This 461-nucleotide ribosomal RNA is filed under the name uncultured bacterium. RNAcentral describes it as "partial 16S ribosomal RNA". It matches the Rfam family "Bacterial small subunit ribosomal RNA", at positions 338 to 795 of the family's 1533-position model. The record is from RNAcentral.
CCUACGGGUGGCAGCAGUGAGGAAUAUUGGUCAAUGGGCGGGAGCCUGAACCAGCCAAGUCGCGUGAGGGAAGACGGUCCUAUGGAUUGUAAACCUCUUUAGGCGGGGAGCAAUGCCGGGCACGCGUGCCCGGAGGGAGAGUACCCGCAGAAUAAGCAUCGGCUAACUCCGUGCCAGCAGCCGCGGUAAUACGGAGGAUGCGAGCGUUGUCCGGAUUUACUGGGUGUAAAGGGCGUGCAGCCGGGAAGACAAGUCAGAUGUGAAAGCCCGCGGCUCAACCGCGGAACUGCAUUUGAAACUGUGUGUCUUGAGUACCGGAGAGGUCAUCGGAAUUCCUUGUGUAGCGGUGAAAUGCGUAGAUAUAAGGAAGAACACCAGUGGCGAAGGCGGAUGACUGGACGGCAACUGACGGUGAGGCGCGAAAGCGUGGGGAGCAAACAGGAUUAGAUACCCCAGUAGUC